This 468-nucleotide ribosomal RNA is filed under the name uncultured bacterium. RNAcentral's name for it is "partial 16S ribosomal RNA". It matches the Rfam family "Bacterial small subunit ribosomal RNA", at positions 28 to 507 of the family's 1533-position model. The record is from RNAcentral.
GACGAACGCUGGCGGCGUGCUUAACACAUGCAAGUCGAACGGAAAGGCCCUGCUUUUGUGGGGUGCUCGAGUGGCGAACGGGUGAGUAACACGUGAGUAACCUGCCCUUGACUUUGGGAUAACUUCAGGAAACUGGGGCUAAUACCGGAUAGGAGCUCCUGCUGCAUGGUGGGGGUUGGAAAGUUUCGGCGGUUGGGGAUGGACUCGCGGCUUAUCAGCUUGUUGGUGGGGUAGUGGCUUACCAAGGCUUUGACGGGUAGCCGGCCUGAGAGGGUGACCGGCGAGAUUGGGACUGAGAGACGGCCCAGACUCCUACGGGAGGCAGCAGUGGGGAAUAUUGCACAAUGGGCGGAGGCCUGAUGCAGCAACGCCGCGUGCGGGAUGACGGCCUUCGGGUUGUAAACCGCUUUCGCCUGUGACGAAGCGUGAGUGACGGUAAUGGGUAAAGAAGCACCGGCUAACUACGUG